RNAcentral lists this long non-coding RNA (4071 nucleotides) under Triticum aestivum (bread wheat). Its description in RNAcentral is "long non-coding RNA (TAES_LNC026572)". Lineage: Eukaryota; Viridiplantae; Streptophyta; Magnoliopsida; Poales; Poaceae. The record is from RNAcentral.
GGCAACAAACAGCGAUCUAUUUGCCUUCGUCCUGCUCAUCUUCCCCGUUCCUCUUGUUCGUCCUUGUAAAAGAACACGGCGGAGGUACGUUCAUCUGUGGUCUUUAGGUGGCGAGAUCAACUCCCUUUUGCCUCCCUUCAAAAAAAAACUCCCUUUUGCCUUAUCUCUCUUCUGAUCGUCCCCCAUGUUCAGAGUGAAACCAAGGCAAGCUGAUCUGUAGGCGAUGCAGAUUAUCUCCAUUUUGUCUUCCUUCUACUAGCAACAAAAAAGAAGACAAUAAAUCAGAAGGUAUGUGACAUACACUCUGAUUGUAUUCAUGUUCUCAAGGCACACAACUCGUAGAUUGAGUUUGUGAUGCUACUAUUUUCUUAAUAGAGGAUGAUAAGGACAAGAUGCAAAACUUAUUUUCUGUAUCUUUUAGAGUAUGUUAGAGUGAAAAGAAAUAAUUUUCAUAGAGGUGAUCUCUAUUGUUUUGGACUAGCUCAAGAUAAAAUGCAUGAAUGUAUCCAAAUAUUUACUAUGACUGUAUUAAUGUUCUCAAGACAGCAAGGGAAUUUUUGGACUGAGUUCGCUAUGAUAUCACAGAUUACACAAAAAGGAGAAGAGAAGGUCCAAUGGAGAAUAUGACUACCUCUAAUGACGACGCUAACAGGUACCGACAAUUUUAUUAAAUUCUCAUGUCAUAUCACCUUAUGAUUGUAGUGUAAGCAUACAAAAAAAUAAGUUAUGUGUAAUUUUUAUAGGAAAAAUGUGAUUCCUAGUUGGAUGCCUCAGAUUGGUAUGAAAUUUAAUUCCACAAAAGAGGCUUGGAACUUUUGGACAUGUUAUGGAGGUCAUAUUGGUUUUGAUGUAAGGAUAAAUUAUGAAAACAAGAGCAAACUCGAUGGAGUAAUCACUUCAGCAAGAUAUGUUUGUUCCAAUGAGGGCUACAGAAGAAAAGACAAAAGGGAUAAUAAUACAAAGCGUCCUCGUGCAGAAACAAGGACCGGCUGCAAUGUUCGAAUGGGAAUCACUAUAGACCGAGAAGCAGGAAAUUAUGAGGUGCAUGAGUUAGUUGUUGAACACAUCCAUGUGUUGCAAUUACCUGGGGCAAGCCACUUGAUGCCAUCACAGAGGAAAAUUUCGGCCUUGCAAGCAUUUGAAAUUGAAACAGCGGAUGAUUCAGGAAUUGUACCUAAAAAAGCCCAUGAGUUAGCAAAUCGACAAGUUGGUAGUCCACUGAACCUUGGCUACACAUGUCGUGAUCGCAAGAACCACUUGCGAACCAGGCGUCAAAGGGACUUGAUGUAUGGUGAAGUUGGAAGUAUGCUCAAGUAUUUUAGAGAUAAAAAGAAUGAGAAUCCUGCAUUUGAAUAUGACAUGUAACUAGAUUGUGAUGAAAAUAUAGCAAAUAUCUUUUGGGCUGAUGCAAGGAUGAUCAUUGACUAUGCUCAUUUCGGUGAUGUUGUUACCUUCGAUACAACAUUUGGGACAAACAAAGAGUAGAGACCCUUCGGUGUGUUUGUUGGCUUCAACCAUUUUAGAGAAAUGGUCAUUUUUGGUGCUGCACUUUUAUAUGAUGAGACAUUUGAAUCAUUCAAAUGGCUGUUCAACACGUUCCUAUCAGUGCAUAACAAAAAGCAACCUAGAACAAUCUUUACUGAUCAAGAUGUAGCAAUGGGUAAUGCAAUUCGGGCAGUAUUUAUCGAAGUAUGGCAUGGCUUGUGCACUUUUCACAUAAUGCAAAAUGCCAUCAGACACUUACCUCAUAAGAAAAAAGACGAGGAAGGACCAAAUGUACUUGCUGAUUUCAGUGCUUGCAUGUACAAGUAUGAGGAAGAGGAAGCCUUUGAAGAAGCUUUCAAUGCCAUAAGAAGCAAUGUGGAAACACAAACUUGGUUGGACAGUAUCUACAAAGUAAAAGAGAAAUGGGCAAGAUGUUACAUGAGGAAUGCUUACACUAUAGGCAUGAGAAGCACACAAUUAAGUGAGAGCUUGAACAGUGACUUGAAAGACCAUCUAAAAUAUGCUCUUUACAUCCUUCGGUUUUUCAAGCACGUAGAGAGGGUUGUGCAAGGAAAAAGAGAUAACGAGGUAAAUGAGGAAUACGAGUCUAGGAAAAAAUUACCUAGAGUCAGAAUGAGGACUCCUAUGGUAAUACAAGCUAGCAAAGUUUACACACCAUGCAUAUUUGAAGAUUUUCAGAAUGAGUAUGAAAGAUCCAUCUCAGCAUACAUCAAGCCAUCGGAAGAACACAAUGCAUAUACUGUUGCAAUUGCAAGUCUUGACCCAGAAUUCCCAUAUAAAGAAGAGUGCAAAGUACUAGUUGAUUAUGAAGAGCAAAAAGUUUUCUGCAAUUGUGGGCAAUUUGAAAGAGUUGGUAUAUUGUGCAGUCAUGCUUUGAAAGCCCUUGAUGUCAUGAAUAUUAAGUAUCUUCCAGGCCACUAUAUUUUGAAGCGAUGGACUCGAGAAGCGCGAAGCGGCACUAUUGAAAACAGCCAUGGAAACAUUGUUUUGGAAGAUCCUAGAUCAGAAGAUAGACAACAGUUGAAGUUUUUCAUGCACGAGUUCCUUGGCAUAGCUUCACAAGCAGUAACAUCAGAAGAGUGUAUCAAACUAGUAGAUGAUGCUUUGAGGAUUCUUAGGAAGCAAGUUGAAGAGAAAACUCGCACUACUACAUGCAGAACUGAAGAUAUAUCUAAAGAACCAGAGGAUUGUUUAAAGGAUGCUUCCCUAAAGAAAAAGGAAAUUCCGAAGAAAAAUUCAAGAAGAAAGAAAACAUGGCUUGGCAACCAGCACCCCAAUAAAAAGAAGGAGACAACUAUAGCAGUACCGAAAAAUCAAACUCAUUCUGUAAAUCUCUUGCACCUAUCUAACUACACUACUUAUUUAAUAGACUGAUAUAGUAACAAGUCAACUAAUAUUUGUUUUGAUUUUUGUUUUUAUGUUUGCAUAGAGAGGAAAGAAUGACAUUCCAGUAGCACAGUAUCAAGCACCUAUAGAGCAAAUGACUGGAACAAAUGCAAAUGGUUUGCAAGAAUAUGGGUACUAUGCUCGUCUACUAACGGUAUUUCCACUUAUCAUGUCUAACAUUCCUUAAAUUCGUUGGUAAACAAUAUGACUUUUUAUUAAUUAGUUAUAUCUCCCUUUAAUUUGCAGAGUGAAGCUGGUGAUCUUUGGAACUUAUAAAACUAUCCUGGGAUAUAACGAUAGGUUGAUGCAUGUCUGUUAUGUUGUCUUGCCAGAUGAGAUUAUGCAGAAGGCAUAACUGAAUCAGCAUACAUGAGACCCAAUGUGUUGAGUGCUCACUACUUCAAUUGGUUUAAUUUCAAUUGACUCCUAGUUUCCGAAGACAGAACAAUCAGUUUAGUUUCAUUUAAUUGCAACAAUGAUCUGUUGAGUACUUAUCACUUUUAAAUAUUCCAAUGACAUGCUCAGCUCUCUCUUGCUAUGCUUUCACGCCUGGGUCAUCGAGAAAUAGCAGCAGUACGGUAUGAACUAAUGAUGAAGAAAGGAAUAAAUUAGUUCUAGGUAACAAGAAGUAAUUGACCUUUGGUUUUGCUACUGGGGCUUGGCCAGGCAGGAGGGCGCCGAGGUCCAGCUAUCGCGACCCUGCCGUCAGAGGCCUCGUGCAGCCGUAAGAUAGCACGGCGGCCCAGGCAUGCCCCUCGUCUGGUUGCUACCCUCAUCCUCGUCCAGGUCGGCCGUGCUGCUCCGGGACAUCGCCGGCGUCGUAUUCCUUCUCGAGCUCGUUGGGAGGAGGCUCCAGCUUGCCGUUGUCGUCAGGCUCGUAGAUCUCGUCGUUGCUCUGCUGCUUGUGUACUUCGCCGUCUCCCUGCUGCUAGCAGCGGGAUACGUGUGGCGGUGAAGCUGCGCCGUCUCCAGUCAGCUCUCGCAGCAGCCCUCCGGCCAUCCCUUGCAGCUGGCUCGGCCGGGGUGGAGCAGUCUUGUGGAUUUGGGGAAACGGUGGCCAAGCUUCACUAGAGGAAGAAACAGUGGCCGAGCUUCACUAGAGGAAAGGGAUAAGACAGUAUAGUUUUUUAUUUAUGAGACCAGCAGUUCCUCGUUGCAGAGCCAUAUAUAGGAUUAAAA